UAAUACGUAGGGUGCGAGCGUUAAUCGGAAUUACUGGGCGUAAAGCGUGCGCAGGCGGUUCGUUAAGUUUGCGGUGAAAGCCCCGGGCUCAACCUGGGAAUGGCCGUGGAAACUGGCGGGCUGGAGUGCGGCAGAGGGGGGUGGAAUUCCGCGUGUAGCAGUGAAAUGCGUAGAGAUGCGGAGGAACACCGAUGGCGAAGGCAGCCCCCUGGGCCGACACUGACGCUCAGGCACGAAAGCGUGGGGAGCAAACAGG
Molecule: ribosomal RNA, 256 nt
Filed under: uncultured bacterium
Lineage: Bacteria
Description: partial 16S ribosomal RNA
Rfam family: Bacterial small subunit ribosomal RNA
Source: RNAcentral